UGGGGAAUAUUGGACAAUGGGCGCAAGCCUGAUCCAGCCAUGCCGCGUGAGUGAUGAAGGCCCUAGGGUUGUAAAGCUCUUUCACCGGUGAAGAUAAUGACGGUAACCGGAGAAGAAGCCCCGGCUAACUUCGUGCCAGCAGCCGCGGUAAUACGAAGGGGGCUAGCGUUGUUCGGAUUUACUGGGCGUAAAGCGCACGAAGGCGGACUAUUAAGUCAGGGGUGAAAUCCCGGGGCUCAACCCCGGAACUGCCUUUGAUACUGGUAGUCUUGAGUUCGAGAGAGGUGAGUGGAAUUCCGAGUGUAGAGGUGAAAUUCGUAGAUAUUCGGAGGAACACCAGUGGCGAAGGCGACUCACUGGCUCGAUACUGACGCUGAGGUGCGAAAGCGUGGGGAGCAAACAGG
This 404-nucleotide ribosomal RNA is filed under the name Actinomycetes bacterium. Its description in RNAcentral is "Actinobacteria bacterium partial 16S ribosomal RNA". It matches the Rfam family "Bacterial small subunit ribosomal RNA", at positions 355 to 776 of the family's 1533-position model. The record is from RNAcentral. Lineage: Bacteria; Bacillati; Actinomycetota; Actinomycetes.